AUUUUAGAGAAUACUCUUAAAAUGCACUUCUCAUGAGACAUUUUCUCAGUCAACUCUUAAAUUACCAAGGACACAGGUCUACUUGCUGACCAUUUCCAAGAUGGCAGCACUUCUGAUGUACCUGAAGCAGCUGAAUUGCAUCUAUUUAUGGACAUAUCUAUGUUUGGCAACUCUAGCUGUGGAGAAUCCACAGGAAAUGUUGCAAACAAAACCUCAUGAGGUUCGGACACUGAAUGCAGGAAAUACAAGAAACACAAGAUCACCAGGUAAG
This is a long non-coding RNA of Sinocyclocheilus grahami, 271 nucleotides long. RefSeq lists it as uncharacterized. Lineage: Eukaryota; Metazoa; Chordata; Actinopteri; Cypriniformes; Cyprinidae. The record is from RefSeq and is a predicted model, not a curated record. The transcript has 3 exons.